AACGAACGCUGGCGGCAUGCCUAACACAUGCAAGUCGAACGAUGCUUUCGGGCAUCGUGGCGCACGGGUGCGUAACGCGUGGGAAUCUGCCCUUGGGUUCGGAAUAACAGUGAGAAAUUGCUGCUAAUACCGGAUGAUGUCUUCGGACCAAAGAUUUAUCGUCCAGGGAUGAGCCCGCGUAGGAUUAGCUAGUUGGUGGGGUAAUGGCCUACCAAGGCGACGAUCCUUAGCUGGUCUGAGAGGAUGAUCAGCCACACUGGGACUGAGACACGGCCCAGACUCCUACGGGAGGCAGCAGUGGGGAAUAUUGGACAAUGGGCGCAAGCCUGAUCCAGCAAUGCCGCGUGAGUGAUGAAGGCCUUAGGGUUGUAAAGCUCUUUUACCCGGGAUGAUAAUGACAGUACCGGGAGAAUAAGCUCCGGCUAACUCCGUG
RNAcentral lists this ribosomal RNA (433 nucleotides) under uncultured bacterium. Its description in RNAcentral is "partial 16S ribosomal RNA". It matches the Rfam family "Bacterial small subunit ribosomal RNA", at positions 29 to 507 of the family's 1533-position model. The record is from RNAcentral.